Chelonoidis abingdonii (Abingdon island giant tortoise) is the source of this 9373-nucleotide non-coding RNA. NCBI's taxonomy places the organism in Eukaryota, Metazoa, Chordata, Testudines, Testudinidae. The record is from RefSeq and is a predicted model, not a curated record.
CCGCUUCAACACAGCGCUGUCUGGAACAUGGCCGGACUCCAGCUUGGGCUGCACUAGUUAGCUGUACAGGGGCGUCAGACUCCUCUGCAGCAGGAUUGGGGCCUUUUGUCCGCUGAGGAUCUGCCCCCCAGGCCCCAAUACUUCAGCUAAAUAUGGGAGGAAGUGGCAGCCAAGCCCCGAGAUCCACGUGCAAGCUGAAGAGACAACGCGUCACGAUUUCCAACUCACAUUACAACAAAACAAAUGAUACCCUCGUUUGUGAUAUAAGGGACCUUGCCUGCUCGGGAGCCCUGGGGCUGUGACGAAGGAUCGUCUGCUCUUAGGGUCUAUGCUCAGCACCCAGCCUCCUUCCCUACAUGAAACAAACGACAUUAAAACCGGAACAGCUGGACUAUCAUCUUCUCCAGAGAGGAGCAGGCGGGGUAGCUGUAGAUACAUUUGACCUUGUGCCGGGUCCCCAAGGCUCUGAGAUCCAGCCCCUGUAGCACCAUAGAGAGAGAUAUGUACAUGGUUUUCUAUUUAUAGAUCACGAGAACUUUUUGUGUUAGUUUUUUUAAAGUUGACAACAAUAACAAUGAAAAAAAUCAAGAACCCUCUAGAGAAACUGUAGUGCAUGAACGAACUCAGCAAGCACUGUGCCUUGCCCGGCUGUGCAUGGAGGGCACCAGCGGAUGGGGGCUGUCUCUGCUUGGUGAGGGUUGAGGGUAUGGCUCAGAGGCUGGAGGGAAGCCGAUCUCCCCGGCCUAGGGUGUGACUUGGGAUUGUCGCUCAGUGGAAGUUGGGGAUUGGGACAGUUCAGAACCGCGGGAGGAAGUCUGGACUGGGUCCAUCGCAAUCCCUGUCCGCCCUCCAUGCCAGCGAAGGCUGCACAGGCUGCUCCCCAACCUGAUUGUCUAGAGACUCUAGAAGAGCUAAAAGUUCCAGGCGUUUGUGUGGAGAAACAAGCCCCUUAGCUUGAUGCCGAUGGGAUGUUUUCCUCUCCAGCCACCGCCUGUGCCCCUCCUCCCCCACGGGCCUGUCCUGCCAGUGCCUGGCAGCACCCCAAGAUCCUUGCCUUGCCAAGAUAUUUCCAGAGAUCGUUGUGAACGGCUAUGUGUCUAUUUCAACGGCUGAACUAUGUGAUUGUAUCGAUACAGCAGAGAAAGAAAAAAAAUGAAACAACCAAACCCAACUUCCCAUGCUAAGUGUCUACCGCGCGCAGUGAUCUCUGCCCCCCAGCUCAGGCUGCUGCCUUGUUUGGAGUUAAAAAGUCACAGAGAAAAAAAAAAAUAACAAACCCCAAACCAAACCAAACGAACCCUUCAAGGGUACAAAAGACAAUGGAGAUGGAGACUGUGAUGGAAUUUGCAUAUUCCCUUCAGACAAGGGGGUGGAGGCCAGGGGGCCGAAUUCUCCCCUGGCGCACACCAGGGUAAAUGAGGAGGUCGGUGGCGUUACACGCAGUGAGUGCAGGAUUGCCCUGCUGGUCUCCAGCAAGGAGCCCCAGCUUCAGACGCAAACAGCCCCCAGAACCUGAACCGAAAAUCUGGCUCCAACCAGGCCUGGGGAUCUGGGUCUGAACUCUUGUGCCUGGUCUCUGGGCUGUCUGAUCACACGGAGCUCUCCGGUUGCGUCUAGUCCAUCCUGAUCCCUUCUGCCUCGGUCUCCCCCUUGCUGGGCCCCUCCCCUGGCCCCUGGGCUGGGGUAACUAAGAAACGGCAAAGAAAAGUGUGGUGAGUGGAACAGUGCAAAUUUUCCCAGGGGAGGAGGAGGGGGUGGUGUGUGCUUUCCUUUCACUGGUGGAUGAGAAAGAACCCAAUCAAUUAGCCAGCCUGGUGCGGCCGUGCUGCUCAGCGCCCGUCUGGAUUGGUUGGAACGUUUGGUAAGGUGCAAUUUCUUCGUGGGGGAAUUUUUUGUGGCUGUCUUUGAAACAAGCCGAUAAAAACGACGUGCUACAGCUGGACAGCUCUGGGGUUGGGGUUGGUGGCCCUGAACCGGCCCAAAGAUCUCGCCGGCCCAACAGCUGCCAUCUGCAGAGCUGCCAGAAUCUGCAGGCUGCAAAUGGAAAAACUGAAGCCGAUUUUUAGCCGGCAGAGAGCUGGUGUAUUGCAGGUGGGCCAGAAAGCACGAGCGGUGCUGUGCACUCCCGCCAUAGAGGGAGGCUGCUGUGUGCACCAAGCUUUCUCUGCCAGACUCCGUUUAGGGCUCAGCUUUAUGAGCCAUGCAUAGGCCAAACCGCAGCUCAGCUCAGUGGGCGUUGUGCCUGCAUGAGCAACUGGGCGUGAUUGGAGGGUGACUCAGGCUGAGAGUCACCUGGUUAGGAGACACGUUCUCCUCUCCUAUGCCUCAUCCACCAAGAAAGCGUCCAGCACCCCCUGCCUCCACCCCUUCUUUUCCAUGGUAUGAACACAAAGCCAGUCGCUGUGUCAGGAGCUCUUGCACUAAGGGGGUUGGAUUGUUGUGGGGGUUACUGCCCAGCCCGGUGCCCACAGAGGUGGUCGCAGCGGGCGUGCGGCCUGCAAACUUGGUCACUUGUCGGUUAUGUUGCGGGUGAUUUUUUUUGUGUGGUUUUUUUUUAUCUGCUUUUCUUUUCUUUUUUGAUUUUUUUUGUCUUUUUAAAAUAAACGACAGCUACCCGCAUUGCAUUGUCCUUGCAGAAAACAAUACUGCACAUUGCAUAAAAAGAUCCCCACAAGGACUUUCCACGCAUGCGUCCCAUGCUUCAGAUCCCUCGCUCUCCGGCCCGCGGCACGGAGAAUGCAGCAAUAAAAAAAAGACAAACCCAUGAAAAGCUUUCUACGAUUCUAGUCUUCCACUGUCCCAGUCGUUCUCCCAGCCCACCCCAUCAUCGAGCACGUUUGACACAAAAACCUUCCUCCUCAAACAAAGCCACAUUUCGCUUCCGGGUCCGUUGGCUCUGGCUGAUUGUUCACGUCGUGUGUGUGUGUGUGUGGAACCGGCAGAUGGUGUGAGCAAGGGGCAGCAAAGCCUCCAUCUUUCCACGGCAUCUCUGGCUCGGAAGGGACGCCCAUAUUGCAGCGGCAGGGCAGUAGCGGCCUGCUGGCGCAGGAGAUCAUUCUCCUGGGAUGAGAUUCACCCCUGUGCAGAGGGCCAGCACACGGUGACUCAAGUUCCCCAACGCUUAUGUCCCACUUAAGGGCUGAUGUGGCACCUAAGUGGGCUGUAGGGCUGGUGCAAGACCUUAGCCCAGAGGGUUUUUAAAGCAGCGAGUCUUGCAGACGGCUCCGUCCACCUGUCCCCUCCUGUCCCUGAUCUCACUUGCACUGGUGUAAAGCAGGCGUAACACAGCUGGAGAACCCGAGCAGUCAGUGAGACCCUCUGAGAACAGCAGAAAUGGGCCUGGAGCUGUCAUGUCCAGCUGGAGGGAGGGCGCUUCCGGCAUCUCCCAGCAUUGCCAGUGCUCUCCUUGUUUUCCUUUGCUCCCCCAGCUCCCGGAGGCAGAGGACUAGGGAGAGCCUCAGCUUGCCUUACAAAUCAAAAGGAAUGGCAAUGCUGUGUGUGUCGGGUGUGUGUGUGUGUGUGCUGGUGUGUGACGUGUGGGAUGGGCGCUGCUGGAACGGGAAUCAUUUGUUGUAGGGUUUUUACCAAAAAAAGUUACUUUCAUUUUCUUCCUCCUGCCUUCUAAACCAGGCUGAGGCACUACGGAGCACCCACCGCUCACGAGAAGUGCCAGGGCCUGGGGAAGCCCAGACCGGACCGGACCGGAGAGGGCAUGUGACACUCGGAUCUCUCAACUGCCCCUGUGCUGACUCAGCCCCACGUGGCCUGGCCCUGAGCAGGCCCUGGCGAGUCUCCUCCAGAGAACUGAUGUUUAUACAUUUAAACGCGGGUGAUGUCUGGGGGGGCUCACCCAGGGAGUGUGAAUCCUGCCCCCGCUGGGGAGGGGUCUCUUUGAUCUGGGCUCAGUGGGGUGAGAGAGGCAAGUGGCGGCUCCACGGCCUGUGGGCUGCUCCUAGUUCCAGAAAACCCUGGGUCAUCGCCGUCACAGGGGGGAGAGAGACUCUCCUGAUGAUGAUGGCGUGGCCAGCGGUGGGCACUGUCCCAGCAGAGCCUGGAGAGGCAACGGCCUUUGGGUUCCUCUGGAACAGCCCGCCCAGCACUCACACCUUAUGUCUCUGAUCUGGAUGCUCACACCCCUACCUCCCUCUUCCUCUUCACUGCUGCCUGCUCCAACCCACUGCGUCCCUGCCAGCUCAGCACGUCACAGACCCACCAUCUCCCUGAAAACGCCCCUCCGCUCCCGUCACACUGUGAAGCAUGCAGGGCGGGGGUCUCCCAAGAGCCUGGCCGUGUCCAUCACUAGGGACUGCCCUGCUCACAUCCUCUCCAGCCAGCGCCAAUGACCCACCACCCCUGGGAGCCCGCGAGUCCAGCGUGCCUGCUGAGCGCUCCGGGUGUGCUGCAGGAGGCUCAGCACAGCAGGAGCCAGUGGAUUCUCCUCUCCAGGAGGUAAAUCAAUGUGAUUUAAAAUAAAAUCACCAGGAAGAUAGAAACAAUCCCCCAGCUGCCCUUGAUUCUGAGGUCAGGGGGCCAAACCAGAGGGUGUGGACCUGGCCCUGGCUUCACAGCUCAGCUCUAGGAUCCCAGUCCCCUUCCACCUUCAGAAGCAUCUGCCCUUCUCAAAGGAAACACGGUGCUAAUACCAAUGACGAAUCCCGCCCAGUACCACCACGCCAGAACGUAUGUGUGUCUCCUUCCCACCCACCAAGAGCUUGCUGUGGAAGGAGGGAGAUUCUGCCGCCGUGCUCAUUAACUUUGGUCAAUUAAAAAAGAAAAGGAAAAACUACACAAAAUCCCACCUCCCCCGUCCCACGCCACAAAACCCAGGCAAUCCCUCCCACUGCACUGCGGGGUUGGAUCAGUCACUGAGCACCUCAGCUAACGGAGCUAUCAAUACAGACGAAACAGGUAUUGCAUAUUUUUUUCAUACAGGAUGCACUUUGUAUGAACAGCUGGAAGACGUAUAUGGGGGAAGCUGGUAAUAAACGGGACAGCCUGGCAACUCAGUGUCCAACGCAAGAAAAAAGAAACCAAGUGCAUGGCUAACGUCCGGAGAGCUACCGCCUAAUUUGGCCUGGACAAGGAGGGAGGCUGGGCGAGAGGGGGCAAACGAGGGGGCAUACCCGGGGCUCAUUGCCAAGACAAUCUUCCUGCUGGGAGCACUACAGACCAGAAGGUUAUUCUUCACCCCUCGGCUCAGCUCCCCCCUUGGACCUGCCUUCAUCAGCCAAAUGGCUCCAGGCUGGGACUUUGUUUGUUUCACACUCCCCCUGCAAAUUUCAUUGGUUUCUGAUUCUGAAACCCAGGAAGGUUCCCUGGUUAUUUAUUUCUGUGUCCUGUGUCUGCCAGUACGGAGGGGUCCAGAUUUAAUGCCUGAUUACAAAACAAAUGUACAGUCUGGGGGCAGACUCAUCAUCUCAGUUAUGCUGGUGUGAAACUGGAGUAACUCCACUGAAUGUGAACGGGGUCACAAUGGUUUGAAACUGGAGUAACUCCAUUGAAUGUAAACGGGGUCACAACGGUGUGAAACUGGAGUAACUCCACUGAAUGUAAACGGGAUCACAACAGUGUGAAACUGGAGUUACUCCACUGAAUGUGAACAGGGUCACAAGGGUGUGAAACUGGAGUAACCCCAUUGAAGCCAAUGGGGCUACAAAGGCCGCAAGUUAGGCAUAAGCAGGAUCAGAAGGGGCGCACCCUGGAUUACGCCAGCGCAGCUGAACCUCAAGCCCAGCCCUACUCAACACCAUCCCAACGUUUCUGAGCCACGUGGAGCCUUCCCCAGGACGUCAGAACCAACACACACUUCAAAACGAAAAUCGACAAACAGCCCCCAAUUGAACCCUGAAGGGUUUGACAAAUGGCGAAAAGUCCCACCCCCCCCCACUUAAUUUUACUACGAGAACCAGUGCAUGCAGCUAUUCCUGUGCAGUGAUACCAGUACGGUUAAUACUUAGUCUUAGAAGGCAAGGCACAUCAUGUGGUAUCAAAUUUCGUGCAAAUUAGGAAACAUGGAUUUUUUAACUUUUUGUCUUUUAUACAUAAUUUUUUGUAAGGGGGGGGAAGGUAGAGCCAGUUAUACAGUCUGCCAUGCACAUUAUCAACCAGUAGCCGAUUGGUUGAGCUAGGUCACAUGAGUUCCUGUUAAAGCACCAUGCAGUUUAUUUCUAAUUUUUUUUUUGGAUUUUUAAUUUUUUUCCCCCUCCCCAUCAAUUGCUUUUUUUUGGACUUCCUGUGUCAGCCCCUCCCACAGAGGGGCACCAGACAUGAGGUCCCUUCGCCCCCCCGCCAGAUAAGGUCCCACCUUGGCGAUGGACCUGGUAUGCAAGGUUUGGCCCUCUCCAUGGCCCGAUGGUGAAACCAGCUCCUUGGAACCAGCCACUCUAGCCCCCAAAACCCAGCGCUGAGAAGAGGGUGCCUAAUCCCCAGCCCUCCCCUGGACAAUGCAGGUGUUGGGAUCUCAUCAGCCUCGCUUUGCCUUUGGCUGGUCUGUCAGGCAGCACAGACCCUGGGAGCUGGGAGCCCCCAGCUCUGGGAAGCAGGACAUGUACCUGGGGUGGGCGCAAGGGCGCGUCCCUCUUCCUCUUUGUGUCUGACUCGCUGGCUGAUUGAGAGUCACUUCCAAAGGCCCGAGCUCCUGCUGAGUGGGAGAAACCAGCAUCUCUGUACCAGGUCUGCCAGAGGAGGGGGCGGAAGGGAAGCUGGCAGGGGGCACAAGGAGGGGGAAGAAAUAGUGGGAGAGAACCCCCCAAAACUGUACAAAGCCAUAGGGGGCAAAGAGUUUGAUUCAAAGGAAAGUAUCUCCGAUUUUCACUGGAGCCAGUGCCUAGAUGCUACUGGGGCUAGAGAGAGAGAGAGAGAGGGUGGGUGGGGAUAGACAGAUAGAUAGAUAGAUAGAUAGAUAGAUAGAGGGGGUUGGCGGGGAUAGAUAGAGAGGGAUCGAGGAGCACUGGGCUGAGCAGGAAGCCAUUGCGGUGGGCCGGGGGGUGGGGUAGAAAUGAUUGUCACCGGUGAUCAGCAUCUGCUGCAGCCUCGACUCCCCCACGGGCAGCGGAGUGGGCUCUGUCUGUGCAGCCCUGGAAUGGACCCAGGGAGCAGCCUGCGGGGCCGUGGGGGAGGAUGAACCAGGGCUGGAAUCCUUUGCGCUCCGUAAGUACCCUGAGUACCUCCUGGGCAAAGCGGGGACAGGAGGGGAGCCUGGCCUGGGGUGCGCAGGGCUGGGAUGGAUUUUCCUGCCGCCCUGAUGAGGACUCAGUCUGGGCCCAGCAGAGAAGCAGCACGAGUGGCUUGCAGGCACCUGGUGUUUUCCUGCUGCGAAGAGCGCGCCAGUUCCCUGGCUCCCUUGUGCCCAGAUGGCCCAUUCACAGCCUUCCUCUCCAGUCAUCGCUCCUCUGCCAUCCUCUUCCUCCUUUCCUGCUGGUUCUCUCCUUAAGGAGUGUGCAUGGCCCUCGGGCUGGGAAUGCGGGCCCCACAGCGCCCCUUCUCCCCUCGCUGGGGGCAGCAGAGCCUGGAGCCAGGGAGCAGGGCAGGGGCCGGCCAGCAGGAAGGAGCAGUGGGAGCAAAGGGCCGGUCUUGCUCUGCCCAUGGGGAGAAGGGGCUGUCGUCUGGGGCCAGCUCUAGACAGGGUCCCGUGCUGGUGGAGGUGGCUGUAAGGGGGAACGGGCUGACUCCCUGAUGUUCAGGCAUAGGGGCACUGAUGGUCACUGGGAGUUGGGCACCGCACUCUGCUUUGGGGAUCUCCCCUCGUUUGUUGAUGCCCUGUGGGCGCUGGGCUCUCCAAGGGCACCGCCAGGUGCUGGGCUAUGCCAACAGGUGCUGGCAGUUGGGUGGCACUGCCUCUGCCUGGAUUCCUGACGUCUUGCUCCAUGGCCUUGGGGCUCCCCCCCCCCAGACACCUGCCCUGCUGCUAGCCCUCCCCCGCCCCGGUCUAUCUAUGGGCAGGAAGCAGGGGACGGCCCCUCGUUUCUCCACUUGCCUGCAUGAAGCGGAGGAGACAGCAGCAAGGGCGCCAAGGGCCCAGCUGCGCUAGAGGCGGGAGGGAGUAGCACAGUCCCGCCGCCGAUCUAAGGCACUAACCGGCGGUGCUGCCUGCAGGGGGACAAGGCUGGGACUCCUCUCUCCGGGCCCCGCUGCAUCUCCAUCCCACCUGCUCUGCUCCAUGCUCGGACAGCGUCUGGGUCAGCGUUCGCCUCCCCUCGGACCCUGGCCUGCCCCGGAGUUGGCCAGGGUUGGCUGCUGGAGAGAGUGAUGCCGGAUUUGUACCCAUGAGUGGAUGCCUGGGGUCUUCUCUAAGUGAGCCCAGCAGCUUCCUAGCCACACGCUGUGCCCUUGCAGCACCAAUGAGCCUGGGCAGAGCAAGGCGAGGGAAAGCUCUCCUCAUCCCCGGCGUCUCACGGAGGGACAGACAGGAACUGGUGAGAAGCAGCCGUUGGACCUUUCAGGUGCUCUCCUAAGGAGCCCAGGCACAGCACGACAUGGGCCAGGGAGGGAGAAGGGUGCUGGCUUGGUGAAUUUGCAUGGCUCUCUGCCGUGACCGAACAGAGGAUCCAAGAAUGCGUGGGUGCCUUUGUCCCGUACCAGCAGUGCCCCUACAGGCAGGGCUGUUCCAGGGAGCCGAGUUCCCCGUCUCCCUGCUCACACUUUCGAUUGCCAAAAGGCACAGCCAGUGGCCCCGUUUCUCUUGCUGCUGCGUGAGGCACUCAUGAAAGUUUCGCUCGGAAGAGGCAGCCCUCCAACAACUGCCCGGCAACAGUGUGUCGCCCCCUCGGUGUCCUGGAUCGGCGGGCCGAGUCCCGAACUGGCGUCUCCCUCGCCGAGCCCAUCCCAUGCUCCGGCUCAUGUCGUUUAAUUUAGCUUCUCUCAGGCCCAGCCAGGAAUCCCAGGGAACAGAGCCCAGUUUGUCUUCAUGCCUCUCUGCGUGCGGAAGGGCUCUGGGUAACUCAAGAGCAUCUCUCACCAACGCAUGCUAAUAUUCUGGGACCCGCACGGCUCUCCCAGCCCUGCAGGCAGCAAUGGAGGGACAGGUGAAAGCGGAGAUGCUGCACCUCCACACGCCGGCCCUUGCAGCUCUCUGAGUUUGCCGACGCCCAGGGGACGGCAGCAGACAAUUGAGGCACUUGAACCAGUCAGGAACUACGUUCUACCUCCCAGCUGCGUUUGCUGAUGGCGGGGGCUGAGGAGCGACUCACGGGGGAGAAGGAAAUGGGGAAGUCUGAGCUGAGCAGAGCCCAGCCCCAACCCAUUUGAAUUUAGGGCACCUUGCCUACCCAAGUCAUGGAUCCAAGGCCUACUCCAGCCCCACAAACGGGGGUGGGGGGUCCCAUCUGUGGUGCAUCCUCUCAGGAAGCAAACCAUCUCUCUUAAAAAAAAAAAA